UUGGCAGUGUCUCGAGGCAUAGU
RNAcentral lists this microRNA (23 nucleotides) under Pristionchus pacificus. Its description in RNAcentral is "ppc-miR-8352-3p". Lineage: Eukaryota; Metazoa; Nematoda; Chromadorea; Rhabditida; Neodiplogasteridae. The record is from miRBase by way of RNAcentral.